Long non-coding RNA from Athalia rosae (coleseed sawfly), 859 nucleotides. RefSeq lists it as uncharacterized. The record is from RefSeq and is a predicted model, not a curated record. NCBI's taxonomy places the organism in Eukaryota, Metazoa, Arthropoda, Insecta, Hymenoptera, Athaliidae. The transcript has 3 exons.
UCUCGUUUCACACGAACAUUUGGAAUAUACAGGGAGUUACAAGUAUGAAUAUAUCGUAGCCUGUACAUGCAUGAGUAAUGUAUUCAACAUUAUAAUUCGCGGUCAGAAGUAUUUCCUGUUCCGAUUACAUAGUAUAAAGAAUUUCUUGCGCCAGAGGCAUUAUCUUAUACAUAUACCCAAAUGUAACAUUCGUAAGGACCCAUAAGCGGUAUAAGAUAUUAUCUUGCGACGCGAAAAUUCUUCGGUCGAUCUGUUGGGCGUAAGUCGCGGAAGAGAAAAAGCUCCACGAUAAUAACAUUCGUUCGCAGAGAAGCUUGUAGAGAAGUGUGAGGAAAAGCUUCGUUUUCUCAUUUAAAUUCGAGCUGGUCUAUUUCCAAGUAGAAAAUAGUAAAAAACAAACAUAAAGAAGAAAACAGGCUGCUGGCGCAGGUCGUACGGGAGGCGAAGAGGCGCGAACGAAGACGCGUAAAUCCACACACGAACGAAAUUAAUAUACUGUUGCAGCACGGACGGAAUGAUGCGGACGAAGAUCCGUACGGUGCGCGCAUACACGCGUAGAUGAAGGUAUAAAUUCGAAGUAUAUAGCGAGAGUGAAAAUUAUAAGAGCAAUACGAAACGCUGGGAAACGCGAUGACGCGGUGGUACGUUCUUGGAACCAAAGACUUUGUCUUGGCACGGGUCGCUCGAACCGGCGCCUACACUGAAAAGAAAGAUAUUCGAAGGGUCGUGGAUGUUUCAUACGGUAGAUUACGCAUCGACUCUCAUUUUGCAACUGCCAAACCACGAAGAUUAUAGCGGGGAGAAAUGCAGUAAUGUAAAAAACACAAACUUACCAAGAAUAUUACAAGACUUAUGAAAA